This 157-nucleotide ribosomal RNA is filed under the name Diploicia canescens. RNAcentral's name for it is "5.8S ribosomal RNA". It matches the Rfam family "5.8S ribosomal RNA". Rfam says of the family: 5.8S ribosomal RNA (5.8S rRNA) is a component of the large subunit of the eukaryotic ribosome. It is transcribed by RNA polymerase I as part of the 45S precursor that also contains 18S and 28S rRNA. The record is from RNAcentral. Lineage: Eukaryota; Fungi; Ascomycota; Lecanoromycetes; Caliciales; Caliciaceae.
AAAACUUUCAACAACGGAUCUCUUGGUUCUGGCAUCGAUGAAGAACGCAGCGAAAUGCGAUAAGUAAUGUGAAUGCAGAUUCAGUGAAUCAUCGAAUCUUUGAACGCACAUUGCGCCCUVUGGUAUUCCGGGGGGCAUGCCUGUUCGAGCGUCAUUG